This 308-nucleotide ribosomal RNA is filed under the name uncultured bacterium. RNAcentral describes it as "partial 16S ribosomal RNA". It matches the Rfam family "Bacterial small subunit ribosomal RNA", at positions 505 to 807 of the family's 1533-position model. The record is from RNAcentral.
GAGACAGCAGUAGCCGCGGUAAAACGUAGGGUGCGAGCGUUAAUCGGAAUUACUGGGCGUAAAGCGUGCGCAGGCGGUUUGUUAAGACAGAUGUGAAAUCCCCGGGCUUAACCUGGGAACUGCAUUUGUGACUGGCAAGCUAGAGUAUGGCAGAGGGGGGUGGAAUUCCGCGUGUAGCAGUGAAAUGCGUAGAUAUGCGGAGGAACACCGAUGGCGAAGGCAGCCCCCUGGGCCAAUACUGACGCUCAUGCACGAAAGCGUGGGGAGCAAACAGGAUUAGAUACCCGGGUAGUCCCUGUCUCUUAUAC